Molecule: long non-coding RNA, 8572 nt
Filed under: Vitis vinifera (wine grape)
Lineage: Eukaryota; Viridiplantae; Streptophyta; Magnoliopsida; Vitales; Vitaceae
Description: long non-coding RNA (VVIN_LNC000910)
Source: RNAcentral
CAAUCACUCUUAAAUCUUACAAAAGCCUUAUAGUUUCAGGGUAAUAUUUCUUAGGAAGAUCAGUUUUCCCAUCUUCUCUACGCAUACAAUGAAGCUUCCAACCAGAAGAGAGAUACACCAAAGAAGAAGAAAAACAGAGCAGGAAGGCUUUCAUUCAUACUCAAAACUAGAAUAUUUGUAAAGAAAUCAUCAGCUUCUAUGUAGAAGCCAAUGACCCAAUAUCAUACCCUGACCAAAUUCACAGAAAUCCCAAUUAGACCAGCUUAUCGGCAAUUACCCACUCAGAAAUCACGGAGAUUUAAGCGAUCUUGACCUCAAUCGUCUUGGGCUUCUUGGGCUCCGGCGGUGGUACCUUCUCAACGGUGACGGUCAGUACUCCAUCUUGACAAACCGCGGAGAUCUUAUCAGUAUUCGCAUUCUCCGGCAACGCAAACUUCCUCAUAAAUUUGCCUACCCUCCUCUCCAUUCUCACGUACUUGACGCCUUCCUUCUCUUCCUCGCGCUUCCUCUCUCCGCUGAUCACCAGCACAUUGUCGUCCUCCACCUGAACCUUGAUGUCGCCGGACUUCAGCCCCGGCAUGUCGACGAUGAAGGUGUAGGAAUUCGGGUACUCCUUGACGUCAGCAGGCGUCGCCGCCAUGGCCUUGGCGUCGCGGACGUAGGUGCGAGUGGGGGCGCUGACGGACUUGUCGGAGUCAUCGGUGGCGUCUAGCAUGUGUUGGAGGGCAGAGAAGAGUGGAGAAUCGAAGCCCAUCAUCCUCGAAUCCAUGUUGGGUUCCAGAGAUUUGUUGGUGUGAGAAUGUGAACAACUGCAAUUGCGAAUGUAGAAGUGCUUGAAUGUUGGAAGGGAUCGGAGGUAGUGAUGUGGUUUUUAUAUUAGACGAGUUGGGAAACAGAGGAAGGUUCUGGAAACAACAAGAAGGAGGAGAAUUGGGAGUUUGUAUCUGUUGGCUCUGCUCCAACGGUUCCAGAAGUUUGUGGAAGUUUCUUUAAAAUGACUAAAGUACCCCUCAUUUGUUCAUAAAAAUUACCUUUUAAAAGAAGUUCUAUUUCAACUUACACGGUAGUUCACAAAUCUUUUAUCAUAUUAUUGUCAACAAGCUAUGGUUUUGAUCAAUGCUUGAUGUAAAUUUUUAUUUUGAUUUUAGAAAAAAAAUAAAAAUAAAGACAUAAUUCUAAAAGGUAUUAUUACGGUAAAAAGUUAAACUAAAACUUUGAGAUAAAAUCAUUUUUUAGGGAACAUUUAAUAAAUCAAUUUAAUAACUUAAAGUAAAUUAAUAAUUUAAUUUAUAUUAUUAAAUAAAUUAAGUAUGUUUGAUAAAAUAAUUUAAUGAUAUAACUUAAGAAUAAAAAAUAACUUAAAGUAACAAACAAAAAUAAUUAAUUAAUUCUUAAAUUUAUAUCUUUAUUUUAAUUUUUUUACUCUUAUUUAUCCGAACUAUUUUCAUAAUCUUUUUUGUUAUUUCAUGACUUUCAUUGUUACUCAAAUUACUUUAUCCUAAUUAUAUAAUUUAUGAAGAUAAAUAUAUUAAUUUGGUGAUUUAUAAUAAAUUUUAAUUUAAUUUUAUUAAAUAACCUUAAUAUUUAAAAUAAGAAUUAAAUAAUAAUUUUUAAGUCAAUAAUUUAAAUAUAAUUUAACUUAAAAUCAAAUUAAAUAAUUAAAUAAUAAAUAAUAAAUUUUACCAAAUACCAUUUUAGAAUUGUUUUUAUAGUAAAGUUAGUUAAAUAAAUACAGAUUUUUUUAUUAAUAAGAGUUUUUGAACUUAGAUCCAACUUGUGUUUUAUCUAUUAAAAUUUAAAAGUUAUAACCAAUUAAGCAUUAACAAUUAAAAAAAAAUUACUCUUUAUUUCUAAAUCGUACAUUAAUAAUAAUUGACUAAUAAAUUAUGAACAUGGAUAAUUUGCCCCUUAUCGGUAGGAGCAUAAAUUACAUGGCAAGUCAUGUUGGGUACAUUUAACUUGGAUUGAACAAGGCGUAGAAGGAUUAAAUAGAAGUAUAUCAUUGAUGAUAAUAUUGCUUAAAUUUAUUUAAUGUCUUCAUUAUUCUAAUACCAGUCAUUAUAUUUGAUCAUUUUCAAAGAGAACAACUCUUCCCUGAGACAAAUAUGGUGUCACUCUCCCAAUCUAAAUUACAAAUUUAGAUUAUCGAAUUCCCUACCCAAAAUCCAAUCUUCCCAGUUAAAAAAAAAAGACUUGUAGUGAAGUUGUCAACCAGAGGAAAUACCACACCUUACUAUGGCUUUUUAAUUGCCGUUAAAUCUUAAAAAUUCUCCAGGAAAAAUGAAAACGAGGCAAGGAAGAGAAAAGGCAGACUUUAUUGACGGUACUGAAAAAUCAAAACUAUACAUUAUACUGUAAUGAAGAGAUCAGUAUUUUCAUCACCCCAAGCCAUUGACCCAAGAUCAAACCCAGACAAAGGCUCCUGUGGCACAGCAACAUUACCACAUUAUUUACUACUAAAACUCCAGAAAAACCCUCCCAAAACCCCCUACAUUUCAAGCAAUUUUGACCUCAAUGGUCUUGGGCUUCUUGGGUUCCGGCGGUGGCAGCUUCUCGACGGUGACGGUCAACACCCCAUCUUGACAUACAGCAGAGAUCUUAUCAGUAUUCGCAUUCUCCGGCAACACGAACUUCCUCAUAAACUUCCCCACUCUCCUCUCCAUUCUUACGUACUUGGCACCUUCCUUCUCCUCCUCUCGCUUCCUCUCUCCGCUGAUCACCAGCACAUUGCCGUCCUCCACCUGAACCUUGAUGUCGCCGGACCUCAGCCCCGGCAUGUCGACGAUGAAGGUGUAGGAAUUCGGGUACUCCUUGACGUCAGCCAGCGUCGCCGCCAUGGCCUUGGCAUCCCGGACGUAGGUGCAAGUGGCUUAAGGUUGAGGGAUUCAAAGACCUUGUUCGAACUUGUGGCAGGGGAUCAAAGUCAGUGGCAGUGCUAGUUAUAGAUUAGCUGCUAAAAUGAAGGAAGUAAAAAAGAAGCUGAAAGUAUGGAACAAAGAGGUUUUUGGGAGGCUGGAAUGCAACAAAUCUUCAGCCCUACAACAAGUAGAUUUCUGGAAUCGGGUGGAAAGCGAGAGAAACUUGACUGUGGAGGAAACUAAAUUAAAAAAGAAGCAAAAGAAACCUAUAAAAAGUGGGUUCUGUUGGAGGAAGCUCAUUGGAGAUAGCUUUCAAGGGAGAUUUGGCUAAGGGAGGGGAAUAGAAACACGGGUUUCUUCCAUCGAAUGACAAGUAUUCAUCGUAGAAACAAUGCUUUUGACAGAAUUAAGGUUAAUGGGGAGUGGCUGUCAGAGGAGCAGGAGGUGAGGGAAGAAAUUGUUAACACAUUUCAGUAGAUGCUCUCUAAAGAUAUGGAAUGAAAGGCGAAUAUUGGAAGAAUUCAUAUUGAUCACAUCAUCCGGCAAGAAGCAGAGAGUUUGGAGGUCCCAUUUACAGAGAUUGAGAUUUAUACGGCGUUGAUGGAGAUGAAUGGGGAUAAAGCCCCUGGUCUGGAUGGCUUUACUGUAGCUUUCUGGCAAAACGCUUGGGAUUUUACCAAAGAGGAGAUUCUGGAUAUGUUUAAAAAAUUUCAUGAACAUAACUCUUUUGUUAGAAGUCUCAACAAUACUUUUUUGGUAUUGAUCCCUAAGAAAAGUGGGGUUGAGGAUCUUGGAGACUUUAGACCUAUCAGUCUCUUAGGGGGCCUUUAUAAACUUUUGGCUAAAGUUCUAGCUAAUAGGCUAAAAAAAGUGAUUAGUAAGGUGGUCUCCAUUGCCCAGAAUGCCUUUGUAACAGGAAGACAAAUUCUUGAUGCGUCAUUAAUUGCUAGUGAGGUGAUAGAUUCAUGGCAGAAGAGAAAAGAGAAGGGCCUUAUAUGCAAAUUGGAUAUAGAAAAAGCUUAUGACAACAUCAAUUGGAAAUUCUUAAUGAAGGUCUUACAAAAAAUGGGUUUUGGGGCUAAGUGGGUGGGAUGGAUGUGGAGUUGCGUGUCCUCUACCAAAUUCUUAGCUCUUGUUAAUAGAGUACCAACUGGUUUUUUCCCUAGCACUAAAGGGCUUAGACAAAGAGAUCUUCUAUCCCCUUAUCUUUUUUGUAAGGAAUUUGAGGCUAAUCCAAACUAUGCUAAUCACCCUAGAGAGGGGGGGUAAAUAGGGUGAUGGUCUCUUUUUCACAAAUUUAAACUAUGCAAAAAUAAGAGAUAAUUAUAUGCAAAUAUAUAAUAAACAAAAUAAACACAAUUACAUAUAAUUUAAAAGAGUUAGGGAAGAGAGAGUGCAAACAUGAGAGUUUAUAGUGGUUCGGCACUUCCUUGCCUACGUCCACUCUCCUCAACCUUUUAACCGAGUGAGGGUUCCACUAUCUUGAAGUUUCAACCAAACUUCCAAUCUCUUUACAAUUGGAUUAUGGUUCUAAUUCACCCUCUUAGACUUUUGGCUCCAAGCACCUUUUACACUUCUUAAGAGUUAUCCCACUCUUGAACAACCUCUCAAGUGAUACCCCUCACUUGAGAAAAUUCAUCUAAAAAAUAUACAAAGAUUGAUCUCACAAAGAUCCUAGUAAUAGAACUUUAGGCUCAAAAAUACAAGAAAAACUAGGAUUGAAUGGUACACUAAAGAUAUGCAAGUUAUGAAACAAUGGUGCACUCAAAAACACUCUUCCAAGGCUCAAAUAUAAUCAAGAAUGAUUUGGGAAGGUUAAGCUUAUGAAACAAUGAAGAUUGAAGCCUUUUUAUAGAAGAAAAAAGUCAAACUAGCCGUUGGGGGUUCGACCGGUCGAGCUAGGUGUCGACUGGUUGACUAGCCGUUAGGGAAAGUGACCGUUGGGCCUCAACCGGACCUCAACCGGUCCUCAAUUGGACCUCAACCGAACCUCAACCGAACCUCAACCGAUUGAGGUUCAACCUUGACUGGGAAGAGAAUGCCACUGGGAGAGAGAGAAACUUUUUGGCCUCCCUCAACCGGUCCUCGACCGGACGAGCACAACCGGUCGACCGGUUGAACCAGUUGAGCCAUUUUUUUGGCUCAACACUCAACCCUUUUCAACUUAAAACCUUUUAACACAAGUUUGAAAAUCAUUUAACAGAAGGUUUUAGUUGAAAACAUGAAAUCAUCCAAUUCUUAAGAUAUUUAAAACAAUAUUACUUUUGGAUGAUUUUGGUUCAUAAAUAAAUAAUGAAAUGCAUGAAAGUCCUAGUGCACCAACAACCUUACAAAGAGAUCUUAAGAAGCUUUGGUCUUGAAAAAAACUCUUCUCUUUGAGGUGGUCUUCUUCUACAUGAUUUCUCCUUGGCUUGAUUUGUCUUUGGAUUACCACUUUGGAAGUCGUCUUGCCUAAUCACACUUAAAAUGUAGUCAUUAGUUUUAAACCUUGUUUUGUUAUCAUCAAAAUCAAGAUUAACCAAACCUUGGUUUCACAUCUUUGUUAUGGGAAUGGAAGUGUUGGACGUCCUCAUCAGGAGAGCUGUGGAGGGGGGAUACUUAUCAGGAUGCAUAAUUCGGGGUGGUAGUAGACCCUCUUUGAACAUCUCCCACCUAUUUUUUGCUGAUGACACAAUAGUGUUUUGUGAGGUAAGUAAAGAGCAAUUAUCUUACCUAAGUUGGAUUCUUCUUUGGUUUGAAGCAGCUUCAGGCCUUAGAAUUAAUUUAGCCAAAAGCGAAAUCAUCCCAGUUGGAGAAGUGGAGGAGAUUCAUGAGCUGGCAGUUGAGUUAGGGUGUAGGGUGGGAUCCUUGCCCUUUCAAUAUUUGGGACUCCCUCUAGUGGUUCCUAAUAGGGCUACUUCUAUGUGGGAUGGAGUGGAAGAGAGAGUUAGGAGGAGACUUGCGCUUUGCAAAAGGCAGUACAUUUCCAAAGGGGGGAGGAUCACUCUUAUAAAAAGCACCUUGGCUAGCAUGCCAAUAUACCAAAUGUUUAUUUUUCGAAUGCCCAAGUCUGUUGCUAAAAGAGUAGAGAAAGUUCAAAGGACUUCCUAUGGGGGGAGGACACUUAGAGGGGAAAAUUCAUCUAGUUAAAUGGAAUGUGGUUUGCACAGAAAAAAACAAGGGUGGGCUAGGCUUAAGGAAAAUAGCCAUGCUAAACAGAGCCUUGCUUGGUAAGUGGAUUUGGAGGUUUGCUUGUGAAAAAGAUUAUCUUUGGAAGCAAGUGAUCACAACGAAGUAUGGGUAAGAGGAUCAUGGAUGAAGGUCAAAGAAGUCUAAUGAGGCGGUUGGAGUAGGGGUGUGGAAGGAGAUUUUGAAAGAAUCUGAUUGGUGCUGGGAUAAUCUAGUGUUUCUAGUUGGGAAGGGCUCCAAAAUCAAAUUUUGGAAAGAUACUUGGUGCACUGACACACCGCUGUCCCAUUAUAUCACUUACCUCUUUGUUCUGGUCGCGCAUAGGGACGCAACAAUUGAGGAGAUGUGAGACCAAAAUUCUGGUCAAGGAGGCUGGAACCUAAUUUUUUUUAGAGACUUUAAUGAUUGGGAGUUGGAUAUGGUUGGGAAUUUGCUUCAUAUCUUGAGGGGUCAUAGGCCUUCUUUGGAGGAAGAUUCAAUUAUGUGGAGGCGAGGAAGAAAUGGUCUCUUUAGGGUCAAGGAAGCUUAUAGGCUGCUGGACAACCCUAAUGACAUAGUUUUUCCUUCAAGGAGCAUCUGGGUGGAUGAGGUGCCAACUAAAGUUGCUUUUUUCGCUUAGGAGGCGACGUGGGGGAAGGUGCUCACUCUGGAUAGGCUCCAGAUAAGAGGAGUGCAACUCCCUAAUUAUUGUUUUUUGUGUGGUUGUGAAGAAGAAAAUGUAAAUCAUAUUCUUAUACACUAUAUAGUGGCUAGAGCUAUGUGGGAUAUUAUUCUUGGGUUAGUAGAUGUUAAAUGGGUCUUCCCAAAAACUGUAAAGGAGGUCUUAACUACCUGGAGGGGCCCAUUUGUAGGGAAGAAAAAGAAAAAUGUUUGGAAAUUCAUACUGUUGUGUAUCUUUUGGACGGUUUGGAAUGAGAGGAAUAUGUUAGCUUUUAGGGGGGGGUGUUGAAUAUCCAGAAAUUAAAGAAUUUUUUUGUUUGUAACUUAUGGAGCUAGGCCAAAGUGUAUUUAGGCGAGGAGUCUCUCUCCCUUAUAGACUUUUUGGAGUGGGUAGCAUCCACUUAAAGGGAGGUAGUCCUUUUUUAGGCUUUAACUGCCUUGUAUACUCUGUGGCUUUUAACAUUUUUCUAAUGCAUAUCUUGUUUUCUUAUAAAAAAAAAAAAAUCAUUUUGUUUUGGGGAAUAUGAAACCAUUAAAGGUCAAUGCAUCCUACGAUUUUCAUAAUAUUUUUAAAAUUCUUUUAAUGUGAAUUCAUCUCUUCUAUUAGAUUUCUUUGGUUAUUAUGAUCACUUUCCUUUUCAAUAAGUGUUUUAAAUUUAUUAAAAGCACAAAAUACUUCAAUUUUUUCCUUUAAAAAAUACAUCCAAAAUUUUAUACUAAAAUCAUGAAUGAAAAACAAAAAAUAUUUAUUCUUACAAAAAAAAAAGUUUGAAUGAAUCGGAUCACAUACAUCCGAAUAAAUAAGUUUUAGAGACUUUUUAUUCUUAUACAUGCUUCUUUUGAAAAUUAUUUUUACAGCAUGUUUCUCAAAUAAGCAUCCUUCACAUUAUUCAUUCAUUUUUGGAAAGCAAUUCUCAUAUUUUUUUUGUUCUAACAAUUUUAAUUUAUCAAAAUUAAGAUAUUCAAAUCUUAAAUGUCAAAUCCAAAAGGAAUCAUUGACAUGAGAUUUUAGACAUUUUACAAUAUCAUUUUAUAUAUUUAAAAAAUAACAUUGCAUUUCUUGUCAUAGACAUAUUUACAUGCUAUCUCUUAUUAAAAGACUUUGAUUUUUCAUAUAAAUAUCAGUCUUUUUUUAAAAACUAGCCCAAACUUAAUAUAUUAUUUGUCAUGUUGGGUACAUAACAAAUAAUGUUCAAGAUAAAUCGAUGCAUUCCAUUCUUAUUUUACCUUUGCCUAGAUAUAUAAUAAUUCUUUCCCCACAAAAUGGACUUAACUUUGAACAGUUCCAAAGAUGGGUGAGCCCCAAAAAAAUGGCUAUUUGGACAAACUCUAAGGGUUGUUUGGGCUUGUCCAUUAAUUUGGGACAUGAAACCCACUAAAGGCUAAAGCCAGAAGCAGACUAGUCUUAUCCAAGAAGGUAGAACAUAAAAGUAUAUUACACACAAACGUUAUGGUAAUAGUUAAAAUAAAACUUUUGUUCAAUCACUCUUAAAUCUUACAAAAACCUUAUAAUUUCAGGGUAAUACUUCUUAGGAAGAUCAGUUUUCCCAUCUUCUCUACGCAUACAAUGAAGCUUCCAACCUGAAGAGAGAUACACCAAAGAAGAAGAAAAACAGAGCAGAAAGGCUUUCAUUCAUACUCAAAACUACAAUAUUUAUAAAGAAAUCAUCAGCUUCUAUGUAGAAGCCAAUGACCCAAUAUCAUACCCAGACCAAAUUCACAGAAAUCCCAAUUAGAUCAGCUUAUCUGCAAUUACCCACUCAGAAUCACGGAGAUUUAAGCGAUCUUGACCUCAAUGGUCUUGGGCUUCUUGGGCUCCGGCGGUGGUAGCUUCUCAACGGUGACGGUCAGUACUCCAUCUUGACAAACCGCGGAGAUCUUAUCAG